CUUGCUCUGUGGGAUCAGUGGCGAACGGGUGAGUAACACGUGAGCAACCUGCCCCUGACUCUGGGAUAAGCGCUGGAAACGGCGUCUAAUACUGGAUAUGUGACGUGACCGCAUGGUCUGCGUCUGGAAAGAAUUUCGGUUGGGGAUGGGCUCGCGGCCUAUCAGCUUGUUGGUGAGGUAAUGGCUCACCAAGGCGUCGACGGGUAGCCGGCCUGAGAGGGUGACCGGCCACACUGGGACUGAGACACGGCCCAGACUCCUACGGGAGGCAGCAGUGGGGAAUAUUGCACAAUGGGCGCAAGCCUGAUGCAGCAACGCCGCGUGAGGGACGACGGCCUUCGGGUUGUAAACCUCUUUUAGCAGGGAAGAAGCGAAAGUGACGGUACCUGCAGAAAAAGCGCCGGCUAACUACGUGCCAGCAGCCGCGGUAAUACGUAGGGCGCAAGCGUUAUCCGGAAUUAUUGGGCGUAAAGAGCUCGUAGGCGGUUUGUCGCGUCUGCUGUGAAAUCCGGAGGCUCAACCUCCGGCCUGCAGUGGGUACGGGCAGACUAGAGUGCGGUAGGGGAGAUUGGAAUUCCUGGUGUAGCGGUGGAAUGCGCAGAUAUCAGGAGGAACACCGAUGGCGAAGGCAGAUCUCUGGGCCGUAACUGACGCUGAGGAGCGAAAGGGUGGGGAGCAAACAGGCUUAGAUACCCUGGUAGUCCACCCCGUAAACGUUGGGAACUAGUUGUGGGGUCCAUUCCACGGAUUCCGUGACGCAGCUAACGCAUUAAGUUCCCCGCCUGGGGAGUACGGCCGCAAGGCUAAAACUCAAAGGAAUUGACGGGGACCCGCACAAGCGGCGGAGCAUGCGGAUUAAUUCGAUGCAACGCGAAGAACCUUACCAAGGCUUGACAUAUACGAGAACGGGCCAGAAAUGGUCAACUCUUUGGACACUCGUAAACAGGUGGUGCAUGGUUGUCGUCAGCUCGUGUCGUGAGAUGUUGGGUUAAGUCCCGCAACGAGCGCAACC
Molecule: ribosomal RNA, 1012 nt
Filed under: Microbacterium sp.
Lineage: Bacteria; Bacillati; Actinomycetota; Actinomycetes; Micrococcales; Microbacteriaceae
Description: bacterial SSU rRNA
Rfam family: Bacterial small subunit ribosomal RNA
Source: RNAcentral